AAUGUACCGGGGCUAAACAUAUUACCGAAGCUGUGGAUUGUCCUUUGGACAAUGGUAGGAGAGCGUUCUAAGGGCGUUGAAGCAUGAUCGUAAGGACAUGUGGAGCGCUUAGAAGUGAGAAUGCCGGUGUGAGUAGCGAAAGACGGGUGAGAAUCCCGUCCACCGAUUGACUAAGGUUUCCAGAGGAAGGCUCGUCCGCUCUGGGUUAGUCGGGUCCUAAGCUGAGGCCGACAGGCGUAGGCGAUGGAUAACAGGUUGAUAUUCCUGUACCACCUAUAAUCGUUUUAAUCGAUGGGGGGACGCAGUAGGAUAGGCGAAGCGUGCGAUUGGAUUGCACGUCUAAGCAGUAAGGCUGAGUAUUAGGCAAAUCCGGUACUCAUUAAGGCUGAGCUGUGAUGGGGAGAAGACAUUGUGUCUUCGAGUCGUUGAUUUCACACUGCCGAGAAAAGCCUCUAGAUAGAAAAUAGGUGCCCGUACCGCAAACCGACACAGGUAGUCAAGAUGAGAAUUCUAAGGUGAGCGAGCGAACUCUCGUUAAGGAACUCGGCAAAAUGACCCCGUAACUUCGGGAGAAGGGGUGCUCUUUAGGGUUAACGCCCAGAAGAGCCGCAGUGAAUAGGCCCAAGCGACUGUUUAUCAAAAACACAGGUCUCUGCUAAACCGUAAGGUGAUGUAUAGGGGCUGACGCCUGCCCGGUGCUGGAAGGUUAAGAGGAGUGGUUAGCUUCUGCGAAGCUACGAAUCGAAGCCCCAGUAAACGGCGGCCGUAACUAUAACGGUCCUAAGGUAGCGAAAUUCCUUGUCGGGUAAGUUCCGACCCGCACGAAAGGCGUAACGAUUUGGGCACUGUCUCAACGAGAGACUCGGUGAAAUCAUAGUACCUGUGAAGAUGCAGGUUACCCGCGACAGGACGGAAAGACCCCGUGGAGCUUUACUGUAGCCUGAUAUUGAAAUUCGGCACAGCUUGUACAGGAUAGGUAGGAGCCUUUGAAACGUGAGCGCUAGCUUACGUGGAGGCGCUGGUGGGAUACUACCCUAGCUGUGUUGGCUUUCUAACCCGCACCACUUAUCGUGGUGGGAGACAGUGUCAGGCGGGCAGUUUGACUGGGGCGGUCGCCUCCUAAAAGGUAACGGAGGCGCUCAAAGGUUCCCUCAGAAUGGUUGGAAAUCAUUCAUAGAGUGUAAAGGCAUAAGGGAGCUUGACUGCGAGACCUACAAGUCGAGCAGGGUCGAAAGACGGACUUAGUGAUCCGGUGGUUCCGCAUGGAAGGGCCAUCGCUCAACGGAUAAAAGCUACCCCGGGGAUAACAGGCUUAUCUCCCCCAAGAGUUCACAUCGACGGGGAGGUUUGGCACCUCGAUGUCGGCUCAUCGCAUCCUGGGGCUGUAGUCGGUCCCAAGGGUUGGGCUGUUCGCCCAUUAAAGCGGUACGCGAGCUGGGUUCAGAACGUCGUGAGACAGUUCGGUCCCUAUCCGUCGUGGGCGUAGGAAAUUUGAGAGGAGCUGUCCUUAGUACGAGAGGACCGGGAUGGACAUACCUCUGGUGUACCAGUUGUCGUGCCAACGGCAUAGCUGGGUAGCUAUGUGUGGACGGGAUAAGUGCUGAAAGCAUCUAAGCAUGAAGCCCCCCUCAAGAUGAGAUUUCCCAACUUCGGUUAUAAGAUCCCUCAAAGAUGAUGAGGUUAAUAGGUUCGAGGUGGAAGCAUGGUGACAUGUGGAGCUGACGAAUACUAAUCGAUCGAAGACUUAAUCAA
This 1752-nucleotide ribosomal RNA is filed under the name Staphylococcus aureus 11S01586. Its description in RNAcentral is "bacterial LSU rRNA". It matches the Rfam family "Bacterial large subunit ribosomal RNA", at positions 1169 to 2925 of the family's 2925-position model. Lineage: Bacteria; Bacillati; Bacillota; Bacilli; Caryophanales; Staphylococcaceae. The record is from RNAcentral.